UAUCUUGACAUUCGCUCAAUGCUACUAUACAAUAAAUGUGUGUGUUUUGCGCACUAUGGCAAUAAAAUUACCCUGUAAUAGGUGUAUUGGACCCGAGGGCAGUACUCGGCGCCUCCACCAUACUUUUACUACAUGGGGGCGAACAAGGAUUGACAUGCAUAGUAAAGAUGGUAGCUUUGCUCGGUUAGAUACCACCGUUAAGAGUUUAUAAUUUAGAUGCAAAUAAUAAUUUUGCUGCUGACAGUAAUGUCAUGGCAUUAGCUGCUUAAUCUAAGCACUAAAUCUCAUUACUACAAGCACGGUUCAGGGAACGCCGGGUAACAGAAGGUUCCCACG
RNAcentral lists this transfer-messenger RNA (336 nucleotides) under Wolbachia endosymbiont of Dirofilaria (Dirofilaria) immitis. It matches the Rfam family "Alphaproteobacteria transfer-messenger RNA". From Rfam's summary of the family: Bacterial tmRNA, also known as 10Sa RNA or SsrA, is named for its dual tRNA and mRNA-like properties. Its role is to liberate the mRNA from a stalled ribosome. Lineage: Bacteria; Pseudomonadati; Pseudomonadota; Alphaproteobacteria; Rickettsiales; Anaplasmataceae. The record is from RNAcentral.